This 136-nucleotide ribosomal RNA is filed under the name uncultured eukaryote. RNAcentral's name for it is "partial 18S ribosomal RNA". It matches the Rfam family "Eukaryotic small subunit ribosomal RNA", at positions 1299 to 1458 of the family's 1831-position model. The record is from RNAcentral.
UGGUGGGGUGGCCCGUCUGGUUAAUUCCGAUAACGAACGAGAUCCGAUUUAUAAUGUUGAGCAUAUCUGGAUACGUCCAGGUAUCUCUCCAUUAUAGACUCCCAGUUCAAACUGGUGGAAGAUUCGGGCAAAAUCA